This 6632-nucleotide long non-coding RNA is filed under the name Sus scrofa (pig). Its description in RNAcentral is "lncRNA (ENSSSCG00000057368.1)". Lineage: Eukaryota; Metazoa; Chordata; Mammalia; Artiodactyla; Suidae. The record is from RNAcentral.
AGCUCCAGGGUCAGCAGGCCCAAGGGUAGUCUGCAACCUCCAUGUAAGCAACUCCAUGUCAUUGGAAUUCAGCUGUCACCCAUAGCUCUGUUCUGUUUUCUUCGGUGUCUCUCUCUUCUCCAGCAGGCAUUCUCUUUAAUAUUCAAUUCUCUCAGCAACCCUAGUGGACAGAGAGAUUCUACCCAAUAUUAAAACAAAAACCCCAGAAUUGGCUAACUCUGUUGACUCCAGAAUGUUUUGAUUGCCCAGAUCUUGGUUCCUUUCUCAUCCCUGCAGUGGUAGGAUGUCGGCCUCAUCCAAAUUUUGUGGAUUGAGAUGAACUGGAAGAGUGAUUCCCACAGGAAAAUCUGAAUGCUUUUACAAAGAAGAGAAUGGACAUUGGGAAGGUGGAAACAAUGGUUGUCCACAAUAGACUGCAUUACCUAAUUCCCUGAAUAUUCUUGAAAGGAUAUCCUGCAAUAAUGCCUGCCUACCACCAUCUUUUCAUCAUCCAAAAUCUUUAAGUAUUAAGGAAGAGAAUUGGGUGAGCAAGGAUAAAUUCAGUUUGACACAUGUUAGCGGUGACCACUGUGGGAGCACCGUCUGAGUUAUGGACCAGGAGGCUGGGUAGAGGGCUGGCCUAAAGGAGAGGGAGGCUCCCCAUGCAAUGUCCGUUGAUGCUUUCCAUCAUGGUUCUGUCUUUCUCAACCUCUGGAAAGACAGAUUGAGGAGUGGAUGGGAAAAAUCAGGACUUUUUUUCCAUUGCCAGGAAAAUAAGAAUUAAAAUGAUGACAAGGUAAAGAGCUACCCCUGGAAGAGCAUUGAAGACAUAGGUAAUGACAGGUGUUAAGAUAGGAACAUAACAGCUAUCUCUCUUAUUUCCAAGUAAUUUGUACUGUUUUGUUUUUUAUACUUAUGUACCUGUUUCUAUGUGUGUAUAUGUUUAAUUUUAUUUAGAAUUUCAGGUACAACUCUUGUGAUUUGCCAUCAGCUUCGCAAAGAUCAAUUAUCCCCUUUGUUCCAUUCCUUUGCACCUUCUCUUAAAGAAACAUACACACAGGAGUUCUUGUUGUGGUACAGCGGACAUGAAUCCUACAUAACCAUAAGGUUGCAGGUUCAAUCCCUCGCCUCAUUCAGUGGGUUAAGGAUCCGGUGUUGCCAUGAGCUGUGGUGUAGGUCGAAAGUGCGGCUCAGAUCCAGCAUUGCUGUGGCUGUGGAUGGCAACCUUAGCUCUGAUUCAGCCCCUAGCCUGGGAACCUUCAUAUGCUGCAGGUGCAGUCCUAAAAAUAAAAAAGAAACACACGCACAUACAUAACUUACUUGUGAUGUGGCUGAGGCUUGUGGAAGGAAGUGCUACAGAUGGAGAGGAAUCUCAGGUCCAAGGCUUGCCUGUGAUGCUACGUAAGUAGUUUACCUGCACCUUGCUUCUUUUCAGGAUUCUGGACCACAGCACUAUGCUCACCUUCACAUUAGGUCACUUUAGGUCUGCUGUAGUGCUUCCCAGAGCACAUUCAGUGGAACACUAGCAUCUAGGAUGCUGUCUUUAAUAGAGGUAUAGACAGUGCUGCAAUCUCUAGCCCAGGUUUGGAGGUUGCAGUGUACAUUAGCAUAGGAAAAGCUCUGAGAAGUCUGUAGCUGAAAGUGUCUAAUGUAUUACUUUUCAGACUGACUUGAGCGUGGAACUUUCUGCUCCCUACCCCCUCAAAAGUAUUACAUGUAGUGCUUUUAUUCUGCAGAUCAUACUUUUGGGGGCGGUGGAACUUGGUGUAGUAGAAUUUUUUUAGAAAAAGAUAAACUUGUCUGUUCCUGGAGUAUUUCUAAGAAGCUGAGUAGUUGUGGGGAACCUGGUGGCUAACUCUUGCUCCUGCCUUAAAUCAUUUAUGCCCACCCACCAGGGCUUCAAAUCACUGGCCCCACCCAGUCUCAUAGCAUCUUCUCUUCUUGUCAGGAAUUGGAGGGGUCAGGUGUGUGGACAGGCUGGGAUUUUUUGUGCAUCAUGUGGUAAAUUACAAUGUCCCCAAUGUCUUUUUCUUAUCUUUUCUUUCUUUUUUUCUUUUUAAGGGCUGCACCUGUGGCAUAUGGAAGUUCCCAGGCUAGGGAUGGAAUUGGAGCUGCAGCUGCUGGCCCGUGCCACAGACAAAGCAAUGCCAGAUCCAUGCUGUGUCUGUGACCUGCACGGAAGCUCAUGGCAAUGCCUGAUCUUUAACCCACUGAGCGAGGCCAGGGAUCAAACCUGCAUCCUCAUGGAUGCUAGUCGGAUUCAUAACCUGCUGAGCCACAGCAGGAACUCCCAGUGCCCUCAAUUUCUUGAGAGUCACAUUGACUGUUUUUCUUGCUUCAGAACCUUAACAUAACAGUAGAACUCAAUUGAGCUCAGCAAGGAGGGUUCGGAGAUGUGUGUAGAAAUUCCCUUGACUUAGGGGUCCAGGGAGAAUGCCAGAGCCUUGUGGCGGCUUAGGCCAAGUCUUGGUAAUAGGUCAGGGAGAAACCCCUGGGGUUGGAGCACCAUGGGAGAAAUGGUUGGCCAUUCCAUGAGGCCACGCCUGAGACCCAAACACCUAGAAUUUCAGAACUCUGACCUAGGCACCACUUGCCAGCAACUAUCACCAAGAUACAAAGACGGGGUCCUCAAGGCAGUGGACAUACGAAUGAGGAGGCAAGUUGGGCUUUCUUAAUGGGCUUUUAAAAAGAGACACUUGCACUUUUAACAAUCCCCUACCGGCCCUUCUUUGCUGAUGGGCUCUCCAGAAAAAAAGAGCCUGCCUGGAUAUUCUGAGUGUCUUCUUGAAGAUGUAGAACUUAAGUGGGUGUUGUUUUUUUAAAAAAGCUGUUGAUCCUGUACAUCAAGGAAAAGCUUUUGGAGCUCUUGACAACCUGAGUGGGUGCUAUUUGCAGGUGUGAGUUUUAUUUUUCGGGAGUUCAGAAGGUGAAAUAGCAGCCAAGUUUCAAUUACAGCCCUGAAUGUGACCCAGGCUAGGAAAUAACUUCAACUUCAAUGUGAGCUUGAACUCCCCAUCCAUAUCUAGAGGAAGAAGUGUGCAAAAGGAAGUGAAAAACCACCUAAACCUCUUAUGGAGGGAGCAAGUGGUGAGUGCCUUUGCUAACAAUACCAAGAAAACAGCUUUAGCACAAGAGGGUCUGCUGCGAGAACAGCACUGGGUCAGUCCCUCAGGGGCUAUCUUAGCUGUUUGUCCCUGCACUGAGGGAACUGAACACUAAACACAUAAUACCAUUUGUACCUUCUUGUGCGACUCUUUUUCCAAAUGUUAAGAACUAGUGCUAUUAUGAAUAAUACACAAAUUCAUUUUAAAGCUAUACUGAAUUCAUACUUACUCCAUAAAGUAUUUUCUCAAGUGAAAAAUUCUAUCAUGUAGGAACAGGUCUGUGAAAAUUUUAGAUGUUUAAAAGAGGUCCUUAUGCUUUCUUGAAAAGAUUGGAAUGACUGUUAUAUUGUACAAUUAUUUUCUCCCCCAUAGUCUCCUGUUGGUUACCUGUCUUGCUCAUGUGAUUAUAAUGGAAUGUUCUGAAACAUUUGAACUUCUUGGCACAAACCAAGGGAGUCUGCUUGUGUCAGGGGUAAUUUAGGAGAGAGAAGCAGUGGGAAGAUUGGACAUCAGGUCAGUUAUUGAGCUCUUCUCAGUCAUCAUUCAAAGAGGUGAAGUUCUACUUGGCAUCAGUGAUUGGGUAAUUCUACGAGGUUUCCAAGCUCAGCUGCCUUGCUUUAAGAUAAAGAAAGCGAUGUUUUCUUCCUUCAGGUGUUUUCUUCCACAAAGUAACAGCCUUUCAAGAUGUCAAGUGUUCAGAUUUCCUUGACUGACACUUAUCACUGCUUUAAGGAUUUCAAAACAUUUCCACAAAUGUUAUCUGAUUUCAUCCUCACAGGCACAUAUGUUUAGGCUUGGAGAAGCUAUGAGAUUUAAUCAAAUUCACAUGAUUAGUGAAGUAACUGAAACAUGAACACAAAGCUUUUGGUUCCAUUAGUUCUGAACCAUGACAUACACGUGUCUCUGGCAGGUCAUACCUCGGUGCCCUUUCAAAUGGGUAUUCUUAAAUAUUUGUUCAGAUUUAGAGUUGAGGAUGUAUCAGGAAUAAUUUCUCUGAGGAAAGGGUAGAAAAGGAAGAUGCUAGCAGUAGCUUCCCAGUUUUUCAUGUCUUCUCAGAAAAGCUGAAGUGCUACUUUAUUGUCUGUGUUGUCCAAGCAUUCCCCUUUGGAGAUUAUGUUAGGAUUUUCUUUUUAUUUAAAUGAUGGAAAACAAAUAGGUUUAAGCAAAAAUGAGAAUGUCCUCAUCAUUUAAAGGUAAAGUCCAGGGAAAUAUCUCACUUUGGGCAUAGCUGGAUCCAGGGGCUUGAAUGAUGUCAUCAAGACCCAUCACUUUCGCUCCACAUCUCUAUUCUUUCUCCUGCUUCAUUCUCCACCAGGGUCUUCUCACUGAUAAUGGCAAGAGGUGGUUGGGUUUUGGCUUACAUCCUAUCCUUUCAGCAAUCCCAGCAGAAAGAGUCUCUGUAACAAUUCCCAACAAUGUCCCCAAAGAGUUGAGUAUCAUGGAAUUGACCUGGGUCAUUUGGCUAACCAGAAGUAAUUACUAUAACUAGAGGGAUUGGCUGCUCUGAUUGGCCAUGCCUGGAUCACAGGCCAAUUCCCACUGCCUGAUGGAAUCAAGCCACAUGGGAGUCAGACUCCAAGACCGAGACCAUAUGCACUGAGAGUGGGGGAAGUUGUUUCCCAAGGAAAAUAUUGAUUCUGGUGCCAAAAGAUAAGGGGAUGGAUACUGGGCAGUCCAAGGCAACAAAUAUGUACUAAGAAAUCUUUUUCUGUCCUCCUGAACAGUCAGUAGCUUAUCAAAAUAUUCCUUUAAACAACAUUUGGAUGCUCCCUGAGUAGAUCUCUAAUUACAUAAUUUUCUGUAUUUCAUUACAUUGUGAAUCAGUUCCCUGGGCAUCUUACCAACUGACUCUGUCUUUACUAGGUGAGGAAGCUGGAGAGCAAAGGGAAUUAGCUAGGAUAGGGUAGAAUUCAGAUCAGAUCCUGGCCCUGGACCCUUGGCUUCUAGAACCAGCAAGUACCACUGAUUCUGCCACUGGGACAGUCCAGCAGAAGAGCCUUGCUUGUCCCACAAUCUACCUGGGCUCUACUAGGAGCUGAGGGCUAUAGGUGCACCAUGAGAUCUCCAGAUUUAGUGAUUAAGCCAUACUGGCCUGAGGUACCCACAACCUACUGAAGGCUCUGCAGAGGGUGGGUCAGUGUGCUUAAUGCAGUGGACUCUUUGUAUCAUUCAAAAUAUGUGCAUUGAUUUAGUUAAAAGAUCAUGCUUAAGAGUCCCCAGAAAGAAACCAGGUGGAAGGAAACAUACUAGGUGUUACUAGGAGUAGCCUAGGCUUGUAAGAUUGAGGAAGAGACUUUUACUUUUUGCUUUAUCUGUUCUCUUUUGUCAACUAAUUUAGAAAAAGGGAUCACGCUAUAGUAGGUUAUCUGGGGGACUCACUUUUGGCCCUGAACACAGUGUUUGAGGAAGACUGACGAAAUACUUUUGACAGGAAGCUGACUGGGAGUUUGGGGUCAGAGUGAAAGCUCAGAAGCCAAACAUGAGUCUGCUGCAGACCCAGAAAAGUUAAGGUCUUUGAAGGAUAAGGACUUUUUUUUUUUCAGUGGCACUGAUCCUGCUAGGCAGUGUACUUGCUCCACUGGAUCCAACACCGUCAAGACCUAUUGACUGGUAGGCAUGAUGAUCACUGCCUCGCAGCCUGGCCUCCUGCCUGCUGGGCAAUUUACAAAGUGUAAGAGAAAAAUAAUCGCUAAACCAACCACACCUACAUUUUGACCUAACAGGGAAUUGCCCCGCUUCUUCGCUAGGCUUUACUCCAAAUGACUUUAGACUUGUUCCUGUCGUCAAAUGUGUCCUGAAAUUGUAAAGAUUUGCCAUUGCUGAGGAUGUCUAGCAUAAUGAAGUAUAAAUCCUGAAGGCAACAGAGGAUUUCCCAAAUAUUUAUAACACAGGGCUCCUCUCUUGAAAUAAAGAUCUCACCUUCCCAGGUGAUUACUUCAGGGGAGGUCCUAUUCAUGUAUUUAAGCAGGGAUACCCUUCUCACCAUUGCCUGAGAAUGUCUGGUGGCCCCAGCUUUACUUGGGGCUUAACCUUCUUGCUCUUCUUUCCCUCUGCUGCUUAUUUCUCAAAAAGGGCCUGGGUCUCUCCUUACCUUUACUUCAUCCUUCUUUUGUGCCAAGUGAAAUCUGCAGAGGCCAGACUGGCAGUGGCUAUGAUGUAUCCUUUUGAAUCCCUGGUACAUCUCAGGAUACUGGAAGUUCUAGAGCACUGGGUUUUUAUUAGAAAACUGGAAAAGAGAGGUACCUGGACUAAGAUGAAACUAAACUUUCAACUGUGGGCACUAGAAGAAGAUGCCCAGGUGGGUCGAGGUGGGGCACAGGGGUGUAGAAGCAAACUGGAGACAGGGCAGCUGGCCAGAAACUCUCCUGUGCCCUAGGGUCUUUUGAUUAAAUACCCACUGGUUGUACAGCCAUGCUGGUGCAUGGCAUGGUGUGGAAGGAGGUUGUCUUUAAGGAUAAUUCCACCUUUAAGAUGUGAGUAGUUCUUGCUGCUGUGCAGCAGGAUCAGUGGCAUCUCUGCAGCACUGGGAUGAAGGUUCAAUCCCCAGCC